This 523-nucleotide ribosomal RNA is filed under the name uncultured archaeon. Its description in RNAcentral is "partial 16S ribosomal RNA". It matches the Rfam family "Archaeal small subunit ribosomal RNA", at positions 815 to 1339 of the family's 1478-position model. The record is from RNAcentral.
AUAAGCUCCCCGCNUNGNAAGUNCGNUCGCAAGACUGAAACUNAAANGAAUUGGCGGGGGAGCACACCAAGGGGUGCGGCGUGNGNUUUAAUNUAACUCANNGCAGAGAAUCUCACCAGAAGCGACGGUAGGAUGAAAGUCAGGCUGAAGACCUUACUUGACAANCCGAGAGGUAGUGCAUGGCCGUCGUCAGCUCGUGCCGUAAGGUGUCCUGAUAAGUCAGGCAACGAGCGAGACCUGCGCCUACAAUUGCUAGCGAAUGCUUGCAUGAUCGAGCACAUUGUAGGGACUGCUCUGGAAACAGGGAGGAAGGUGCAGGCUACGGUAGGUCUGUAUGCUCCGAAUCCUCUGGGCUACACGCGCGCAACAAUGGUAAGGACAAUGGGAUGCCACUCCGAAAGGAGAAGCCAAGCCUCGAAACCUUAUCCAAGUCCAGAUUGAGGGCUGUAACUCGCCCUCAUGACGAUGGAAUCCCUAGUAAUCNGAAUUCAACACGUCCCGGGANUUGCCUCUCUGGGGGCCG